ACGGGUAAGUAGCCUGCCGGAUGUACCGAGCAGUGGACGAUAACUAAUGCCAAAAUUAGUGACCACCUCAUCGUUCGGAUGUGGAAUGCAAGGGAUCAUUGGGACUUUUGAGGCCCAUUCCGUGAAUAUCUGAUUACCUGGUUGGUGGCUUGACGGCGUAGCCAGCGUACGAUGGCCAGCGGGUCUGAGAGGACGAUCCGCCACUGUGAGACCGACCCAAGGCCUACAUUCGGACAUUAGUCAGAGGUGGGGAAAUUUGCACAAUGGUCGUACGCCAGAUCCACCCGUGCCGCGUGUCGGAUGAUUUCCUUCUGGAUGAAAAAGACUUUUGUCAUGAAGAAAUGACGACAGCUUAAUAACCCCUGUCUGAUGCCGGUAUCUCAUGACUCACGCCCAUUCAUAUACUUGCGGGGAUGGGCGGAUUUACGUAGGGUGAUAAGUAUUAAUCGAAAUUAUUCGUGUCUACCGCGGGCACGCCCUGUUACUGACUCACCAUGUGAAUUCCCCGGGCUCGGCUUUGCAACUGUCGAUCUGAAUGGUGUUCAUAUUUGCGCGUCAGACGGAGAAUAAUUCCUCGGUACACAGUAAGUUACGCGUAAGUUGCAAAACCAUACCAGAUGACGAGAAUUAGGCCCCCUGGGUAGUACCGAGAUGAUCAAGUCUUAUGCGAUUGCUAGUCGACGACGAUCUAGAUACCAAGGUGAUUGGCAUCCC
RNAcentral lists this ribosomal RNA (714 nucleotides) under uncultured bacterium. RNAcentral's name for it is "partial 16S ribosomal RNA". The stretch from base 1 to 422 matches the Rfam family "Bacterial small subunit ribosomal RNA", at positions 102 to 537 of the family's 1533-position model. The record is from RNAcentral.